RNAcentral lists this ribosomal RNA (468 nucleotides) under uncultured bacterium. RNAcentral describes it as "partial 16S ribosomal RNA". It matches the Rfam family "Bacterial small subunit ribosomal RNA", at positions 28 to 507 of the family's 1533-position model. The record is from RNAcentral.
GACGAACGCUGGCGGCGUGCUUAACACAUGCAAGUCGAACGGAAAGGCCCUGCUUUUGUGGGGUGCUCGAGUGGCGAACGGGUGAGUAACACGUGAGUAACCUGCCCUUGACUUUGGGAUAACUUCAGGAAACUGGGGCUAAUACCGGAUAGGAGCUCCUGCUGCAUGGUGGGGGUUGGAAAGUUUCGGCGGUUGGGGAUGGACUCGCGGCUUAUCAGCUUGUUGGUGGGGUAGUGGCUUACCAAGGCUUUGACGGGUAGCCAGCCUGAGAGGGUGACCGGCCACAUUGGGACUGAGAUACGGCCCAGACUCCUACGGGAGGCAGCAGUGGGGAAUAUUGCACAAUGGGCGGAAGCCUGAUGCAGCAACGCCGCGUGCGGGAUGACGGCCUUCGAGUUGUAAACCGCUUUCGCCUGUGACGAAGCGUGAGUGACGGUAAUGGGUAAAGAAGCACCGGCUAACUACGUG